ACACCAACGAUGAGGUCCAUGUUUGUCACCUUUGUGGCUCCUGGUACGAGACACGCAAGGGCCUGUCGAGUCACGCUCGCUUCCAUCUGCGCCAGUUUGGAAUCCCUGACAGUGAGAUCAAGGGCAGCCCUAUUGAUUUUCUGUAUCGGAUCAUGGAGGAGGAGGACCUCAAACCCAUCACCAGCAAGCAACAGGGUGAGCUCACAUCAAACGGUUCAAAGAGACCUUCCUCUAAACGCCCCUCUGAUCUGUCCUCUCCACCUGCAUCGCACCCCAGCAAACGGCCUAAAACAUCCGAGGAUUGUACUUGCGUUCUGUGUGGGGAGUCAUUUGAGAACCGAAAAGGCCUGGCCAGCCACGCACGCUCUCACUUACGCCACAUUGGGGUGAGUGAGUUAGUGGGGAAAAGCUCUGCAAUUGACGCCGUCCAGGAGCUGGUCAGCAGCGGUGUUUUAGAAGCCGUACAGCCUCUGAAAACAAACAGUACAGCCGCCAGCUCAUUUGCAGCACCAUCUCCAGCACCUCCAUCUCCCACAGCCCUGGCUUUGUCUCCAGGUCCAAGCCAAUCCUGGACCUCAUUUUCCUCAACAUCGAUCUCCUCAACUCCUGUGAAGAGCUGCCAGUCUCCUCAGGCUGCGGUAAACAAGGCGCCAAAGGCUAAGAAAGGAUUUCGGCUAGCAGUUGACCCCCUCCUCAGGAAACCCAAGCCUGAGCCUGUAGAGACAGAAGUGUCUGUUCAACCAAAGGCAUCCAGCAGCAGCUCUCCUCUGCAGAAGUCACCUACUACCAUUGUUUCUCCAAAGCCUCUUGAAUCAGAUGUGCGGUCUCCUCCAACAGUCCUUUGUGACUUCUGUGGGCAGCUGUUUGAGACCCGUAAAGCCCUGUCGUGCCACGUUCGUGCCCACCUGCGGCAGCUCGGCCUCACUUGGUCAAUUAAAACAUCACCAAUCGAUCUCCUCAAAGAAGUCAUGCUGAACAGCGAGGAAAGAAAGACUUAGUGUCCGGUGCUUCCUCAGCCCCGGGGAAGUCCAGGUGGACCCAUCAAGGUUCCAGAAGGUCCUUAGACAGCCUCACAUCUGGAGAACCAGCCUCCAACAUCUGCACCUCACCUCUUGAUUAUUCCAUGAAAGAGAAAUCGCUGUCUGGCAAGAGUGGAGCCUCACACGCUGACACCUCAUGUGAGCUUUGUGGGUUCGACUUUGAAAACCGCAAGGCCUUAGCCAGUCACGCUCGAGCCCACCUCCGUCAGCUGGGCAUCAUCGAAUGGAAGGCGGACGGAGCGAGUUCACCGAUCGAACUCCUCAGCGAGUUGAUCCGAAGAGACCCAGAGAAGGUGGCAGUAAUAACCAGACGCUAUCGUGUGGGAGACCUUUACAUCAAGAAGUCUCAGAGACCUGCUGCUUCGCCCUCUUUGUCCACAGACUCCGAUCGAUGGCCGGCGGCAGCAGCCUCAAGUAUUCACAAGGCCACGCUCGCACUAUGGUAACUCACAGCAACUCCAGUGUGCGCUCCCCAAGAGGGGUUCAUCCACCAAAGAAGUACGUAGUGCCUAAAGGGGAGGAAAAUCAGGACACCAACUCCCAGCAGCCAUCACGGUCCGGCAGCAUCCCUGCUCUGCUGCCAAAGCCUCCACUCACUCCACUGGUCAAACUGGUGGGCAAAAUUUACUCCCUCAAGUGC
This is a long non-coding RNA of Acanthochromis polyacanthus (spiny chromis), 1680 nucleotides long. RefSeq lists it as uncharacterized. Lineage: Eukaryota; Metazoa; Chordata; Actinopteri; Pomacentridae. The record is from RefSeq and is a predicted model, not a curated record. The transcript is spliced from 5 exons.